UGGCCGGCUUCAUGGACAGAUAAGAUACUAAUAUAAGAGUACAGAGAGUACAAAUGCUUACAAAUAAAUUAUCAGCUGAGCCGGCUGAGAGAGAGUUCAUGUAUAUAUGUGUGUGGAUCAUAAAAAGCUAAGAGAAGAAGAGGGAGCGUACAGCCUUGGUGAAAAGGGUAGUAGGCGUCGCAAGUACUUCCACCAUCUAACAACUAAACCGCCCAAAGCUGUACUCUCUCUCUUCUCCAUUUAGCCUUCACGAUAUGAUCGUCUAUCGAUCUCCUUCUCUUAGUUGCUCUAGAAGUUGGAUCCCUCUGGGUUUAU
Molecule: non-coding RNA, 315 nt
Filed under: Oryza sativa Japonica Group (Japanese rice)
Lineage: Eukaryota; Viridiplantae; Streptophyta; Magnoliopsida; Poales; Poaceae
Source: RNAcentral